This 461-nucleotide ribosomal RNA is filed under the name uncultured bacterium. RNAcentral describes it as "bacterial SSU rRNA". It matches the Rfam family "Bacterial small subunit ribosomal RNA", at positions 342 to 807 of the family's 1533-position model. The record is from RNAcentral.
CGGGAGGCAGCAGUUAGGAAUCUUCCGCAAUGGGCGCAAGCCUGACGGAGUGACGCCGCUUGGAGGAUGAAGCCCUUCGGGGUGUAAACUCCUGAACUGGGGGCGAAAUCCCUGAUGAGGGGGCUGACGGUACCCAGGUAAUAGCGCCGGCCAACUCCGUGCCAGCAGCCGCGGUAAUACGGAGGGCGCGAGCGUUACCCGGAUUUACUGGGCGUAAAGGGCGUGUAGGCGGUUUGGCGCGUCUGGCGUUAAAGACCGCGGCUCAACCGUGGGGAUGCGCUGGAUACGGCCAAGCUAGACGGCUGGAGGGGGUGGUGGAAUUCCCGGAGUAGCGGUGAAAUGCGCAGAUACCGGGAGGAACGCCGAUAGCGAAGGCAGCCACCUGGCCAGUUUGUGACGCUGAGGCGCGAGAGCGUGGGGAGCAAACCGGAUUAGAUACCCGGGUAGUCCACGCCCUAAAC